This 497-nucleotide ribosomal RNA is filed under the name uncultured bacterium. RNAcentral's name for it is "partial 16S ribosomal RNA". The stretch from base 20 to 340 matches the Rfam family "Bacterial small subunit ribosomal RNA", at positions 47 to 358 of the family's 1533-position model. The record is from RNAcentral.
GAUGAACGCUGGCGGCGUGCCUAAUACAUGCAAGUCGAGCGAACAGACGAGGAGCUUGCUCCUCUGACGUUAGCGGCGGACGGGUGAGUAACACGUGGAUAACCUACCUAUAAGACUGGGAUAACUUCGGGAAACCGGAGCUAAUACCGGAUAAUAUAUUGAACCGCAUGGUUCAAUAGUGAAAGACGGUUUUGCUGUCACUUAUAGAUGGAUCCGCGCCGCAUUAGCUAGUUGGUAAGGUAACGGCUUACCAAGGCAACGAUGCGUAGCCGACCUGAGAGGGGGCGAGGCAAAACGGGAGAGAAAAAGGGGUCAAGCCCAAGAGGGGAGGCGCAGAGAGGAAAUCUAGAGGAAGGGGAGAAGGCGUGAGGAGGAAACGAGGGGGGAGGAAGAAGGGUCUAGGAAUAGAAAAACUUUUUUAUGGGGAAAAAAAAAAUGUGAAAGAAACAAGGCACGUCGGAAGGGAACAAAAUAAAAAGACCAGGAAAAAAUACGGC